CACUUUUUUUUUUAUAUUUUUGUUUCUGUAGGAGCAAAACAGCCUGGUAGCUCUUCACCAUUGGGGGCAGUUGUUGGAGGGAUCAUUGGGGUCAUUGUACUCAUCUGUGUGGUUGCUGCCAUUUGGUGGUUAAAAUCAAAACACACAAGUUCACAACAGACACAGUUUUCACAGAGCCUAACAACUAAGGAGCCAACUGUUCAAAAACCAGCCAGAUCAGCGGAAAAAGAGGAAAUCCAUUAUGGAGAAAUCGACUUCUCUAAGUGGAGACCUGAAACAUCCUCUGCCUCAGUACAGGACAAUGCACUGCAGCAGGAUACACUGUAUGCACAGGUCAAAGUGUCCAAAAAAGCAAACCGCUUAACACAGACUGCUGACAACCCAGAGGCUCUCUAUGCUCAAGUCAAGAAAAAAUGAAUAUGGACGCAUCUUUUUUUAAACAAAUAAUGUUCAUUAAUACAAGGAAAUCAAUAAUGCUAAUUCUAAUUCAUCACACGUAGUAUGAUUUGCUCAAAACAUGCAUCUUAUUUAUUUAUUCAUAGAUUUGUGUUUUGAUCAAUGAUCAAGUGGAGUCAUUGUGACCCACAUUUGUGAGUAAACAUGAUCAAAAUCAUACCAUUUGAUGACAAGAAAUUUUAAAUAACUAAGAGGAAUAGUUACUUGACUUAUGACAAAUGUUUUUUAUAUCAAGCUUAAAUUGAUAGCAACAAUAAAUACCGUACAAACAAAUGUGACAUUUCCUGUAUAAAUAAGAUGAUGACAAAUAAAUUAGUCAAAUAUUUGCACAAUC
Molecule: long non-coding RNA, 790 nt
Organism: Morone saxatilis (striped sea-bass)
Lineage: Eukaryota; Metazoa; Chordata; Actinopteri; Moronidae
Exons: 3
Source: RefSeq, a predicted model, not a curated record